This 362-nucleotide unclassified non-coding RNA is filed under the name uncultured bacterium. RNAcentral's name for it is "contains 16S-23S intergenic spacer region". The record is from RNAcentral.
UCUCCCGUGAGGGAGCAGUCUCGCCUGACAAUAUAACAGACAACGAGGGUUGCGUUCGUUACCCCACUGAAGGGAACAGCUCAAGCCACGAACUGACGACAACCAUGCAUCACCUGCCAAGCACCCUCGAAGGCUUCCCCCGUUUCUGGGGGCGUGCAGCUUGGUUUCUAGCCCUGGUAAGGUUCUUCGCUUAGCUACGAAUUAAGCCACAUGAUCCACCGCUUGUGCGAGUCCCCGUCUAUUCCUUUGAGUUUUAAUCUUGCGAUCGUACUACCCAGGCGGCUCGCUUACCGCGUUAGCUUAGUCCCACAGAGGGUCGAUACUCCGUAGAACGAGCGAGCAGCGUUUAGGGCCAGGACUAC